Molecule: ribosomal RNA, 253 nt
Filed under: uncultured bacterium
Lineage: Bacteria
Description: partial 16S ribosomal RNA
Rfam family: Bacterial small subunit ribosomal RNA
Source: RNAcentral
UACGGAGGAUGCGAGCGUUAUCCGGAUUCAUUGGGUUUAAAGGGUGCGUAGGCGGAAGUAUAAGUCAGGGGUGAAAGUUUGUGGCUCAACCAUAAAAUUGCCCUUGAUACUGUAUUUCUUGAGUACAUUUGAGGUAGGCGGAAUGUGUUGUGUAGCGGUGAAAUGCUUAGAUAUAACACAGAACACCGAUUGCGAAGGCAGCUUACUAAACUGUUACUGACGCUGAUGCACGAAAGCGUGGGGAUCGAACAGG